UGGGGAAUUUUGGACAAUGGGCGAAAGCCUGAUCCAGCAAUGCCGCGUGUGUGGAGAAGGCCUUCGGGUUGUAAAGCACUUUUGUCCGGAAAGAAAUCCUUGGCUCUAAUACAGUCGGGGGAUGACGGUACCGGAAGAAUAAGCACCGGCUAACUACGUGCCAGCAGCCGCGGUAAUACGUAGGGUGCAAGCGUUAAUCGGAAUUACUGGGCGUAAAGCGUGCGCAGGCGGUUUGCUAAGACCGAUGUGAAAUCCCCGGGCUCAACCUGGGAACUGCAUUGGUGACUGGCAGGCUAGAGUAUGGCAGAGGGGGGUAGAAUUCCACGUGUAGCANGUGAAAUGCGUAGAGAUGUGGAGGAAUACCGAUGGCGAAGGCAGCCCCCCUGGGCCAAUACUGACGCUCAUGCACGAAAAGCGUGGGGAGCAAACAGGAUUAGAUACCCUGGUAGUCCACGCCCUAAACGAUGUCAACUAGUUGUUGGGGAUUCAUUUCCUUAGUAACGUAGCUAACGCGUGAAGUUGACCGCCUGGGGGAGUACGGUCGCAAGAUUAAAACUUAAUA
Molecule: ribosomal RNA, 562 nt
Filed under: uncultured bacterium
Lineage: Bacteria
Description: partial 16S ribosomal RNA
Rfam family: Bacterial small subunit ribosomal RNA
Source: RNAcentral